RNAcentral lists this microRNA precursor (107 nucleotides) under Canis lupus familiaris (dog). RNAcentral's name for it is "mir-8834 microRNA precursor family". It matches the Rfam family "mir-8834 microRNA precursor family". The record is from Rfam by way of RNAcentral. Lineage: Eukaryota; Metazoa; Chordata; Mammalia; Carnivora; Canidae.
AGGAGGAACAACCGCAGUGUUGGCGGCCAGCUCUGGAGCCCUGGAUUCAGCUCCCACAGUAAGUAUAGAGCUCUCAGCCUGCAGCGGCCUGGAUGCUGCGGGGGCCG